Molecule: ribosomal RNA, 489 nt
Filed under: uncultured bacterium
Lineage: Bacteria
Description: bacterial SSU rRNA
Rfam family: Bacterial small subunit ribosomal RNA
Source: RNAcentral
GACGACGCUGGCGGCGUGGAUUAGGCAUGCAAGUCGAACGGUAGGAUCCUUUCGGGGAUCUGAGAGUGGCGAACGGGUGAGUAACACGUAGGUGAUCUACCCUCAAGACGGGGACGAACCCAGGGGAAACUUGGGCUAAUACCGGAUGUGAGCUAUCGCGAGAUAGUUUGAAAGGUGGCUUCGGCUGCCGCUUGAGGAUGAGCCUGCGUCCUAUUAGCUAGUUGGUGAGGUAACGGCUCACCGAGGCAGUGAUAGGUAGGCGGCCUUAACGGGUGGUCGCCCACACUGGGAUUGAGAUACGGCCCAGACUCCUACGGGAGGCAGCAGUCGAGAAUAGUCUACAAUGGUCGAAAGACUGAUAGUGCGACGCCGCGUGAACGAAGAAGCCCUUCGGGGUGUAAAGUUCUUUUAUAUGUGAGCAGUGACACCCAUAUUAAUAGUAUGGGUGUAGAGAUAUUAGCAUAUGAAUAAGUAACGGCUAACUCCGUG